AUUCAUAACCUUUAGUUGAAACAUACAUCACAGCAAAAGCGACAAAAAGAUAAUGAUGAUUGGAUUUUAAUGAUUUCUUCUUAUUUUAGAAGCUAACAUAUCCCAAUCAAAUCCAAAUCAAAUUGGUACAGAAGUCUUAGCUGGUCCACUAAUUUAGUUAAUUGGUGAUAAAAGGUGCAGGAGAUGAGGGAGAAAAUUUUGAAACUAAUUAUGCCUUCCGAGAUUAAACUCAAAUGGCCACUCUUAGGAUUCAUGCAAGAAAAACCUUGUUGGAAUAAAUGGUCACAUGGAGGAUGUGACCCACAUGAAAGAAAAAGCCUACUAUUCUCAAUGUAUGCUUUUCUUGAAAUUUCCAUCUCUUCAAUACUAUUCCCACCUCAUUUCA
RNAcentral lists this unclassified non-coding RNA (385 nucleotides) under Hevea brasiliensis (rubber tree). Lineage: Eukaryota; Viridiplantae; Streptophyta; Magnoliopsida; Malpighiales; Euphorbiaceae. The record is from RNAcentral.